Molecule: ribosomal RNA, 305 nt
Filed under: uncultured bacterium
Lineage: Bacteria
Description: bacterial SSU rRNA
Rfam family: Bacterial small subunit ribosomal RNA
Source: RNAcentral
UGAUCCUACGGGAGGCAGCAGUGAGGAAUAUUGGUCAAUGGGCUUACGCCUGAACCAGCCAAGUCGCGUGAGGGAAGACUGCCCUAUGGGUUGUAAACCUCUUUUGUCAGGGAGCAACGCCGGCUACGUGUAGCCGGACUGAGAGUACCUGAAGAAAAAGCAUCGGCUAACUCCGUGCCAGCAGCCGCGGUAAUACGGAGGAUGCGAGCGUUAUCCGGAUUUAUUGGGUUUAAAGGGUGCGCAGGCGGGAGAUCAAGUCAGCGGUAAAAUCGCGGGGCUCAACCUCGCUCCGCCGUUGAAACUGG